GUAGUCUAUACAAAUGGAAUUGUAUGAUAUGUAUUAUAAUUCUUUAACAUCUUUUAUUAGCACACUUACUGAGAAUAUAGUCAAGUUAUUCUGUGACUCAGACAUGCCUUGACUGUAAGGCCGAGUCGUAUUCCACUACAUCAAUAUAUCUGAAACUGUUUAAUUAUUCACCUAUAAUAGAUAUUUUAUUUGUCCUCUCAGUUGCUAUCUUUUAUAUAGGAAGCAACUACUCAGUAAGGAAAAGUAAAAAAGUGAGAAAAAUACAACCAUAUUCUACCUCAUUGACGAUAAGCUUGAACAACUACUAAUAAAGGAAAUAAAACAUCUACACAUCAGAGUUCAUGUCACAGGGCAAGUGAAAAAACUGCAGUCUAAGGUGACAGGCGCCUGAAGGGAGAACCAGGACCCACAUAUUAUUGCACCUAGGUCUGUUCCCACUGGAUGGCAUUUCUGGUAGAAAAAGACUAACCUGGAUAUAUUUCGUAAGUGGCUUGAAGAUUGAUGUGCUAAUGGUGUUAGAGUGUGAAGCUUCUAGUGCUUGUAGGCUUUUUCUACAGAAUUGAGGAAAAUUCCCAAUUUCCCCAUUGCUGUUGUUCUGUGUUUAUUGGGGGAGAAGAACAGGAGCCACUGCUGAAUUCCUGAAUCCUCUUCCACUAUUUCCAGGAGGCAAAUCCACUAAAACUCCUCUAUGGGCACUGUUGGGGUCAACAGAAACAGAUUAAAACAAAGGGGGAUAGGGUGGGGUGAUGUCUGCAGUACCCUGGAAAACAGUGAGGAAGGAAGAGACACUGAAGUUAAAUAAAUAUAUACUAAAAAGAACUAUUACCUUGGUAAACAUGAUUGGUUGCAGUGAUCAUCAGAAGUAAACUGAGUUUCCAGACAUAGAAGAGAUAAAGUAAAGGCCCUUGGUGCUUCCCUGCAUAUAUACUGAGGACAAUAAAAGGCUUUGACAGAAGAAGGGAAGUUGAAGAAAUAGUCUGAGGAGCAGUCACCAGGAGCCAACCAGAAUAGUUAAAACCAGUCCAUAAAGUGGUGUUUCAUCUACAUAAGCAGCUGAGGAAAGUAAAAGAAAGUCAAUACCAUGCAUAUGCUGAGUUAUUGAUAGAAAAGCAUUUACAGUUGUGUGACUGACACAACGCAGAAAACAUAAAUCUUUGCAUGAACAGACAGUUUGGAUUGAGGAUACACAAUUCUUAUUAAAAUUAUACUGAUAAGUCAUCACUAGCAUUAUUGUGAAAAUACGUAGGACUAUAAAUUGAAAUGAAUCUAUGUUCUAAGUUGAAGAUUUUGUAGGUGAAAAAACAAAAACAAGACAAAACAUGAGUUACAAGGAGGAAAUGCUAGAGGUCCUGGGGUAAACCUUUGCUUUACGAGGUCAAAAAAUAACAAGUUCAGGCCGGGCGUGGUGGCUUAAGCCUGUAAUCCCAGCACUUUGGGAGGCCGAGACGGGUGGAUCACGAGGUCAGGAGAUGGAAAUCAUCCUGGCUAACACGGUGAAACCCCGUCUCUACUAAAAAAUACGAAAAAUUAGUCGGGCGAGGUGGCGGGUGCCUGUAGUCCCAGCUACUCAGGAGGCUGAGGUAGGAGAAUGGCGGGAACCCGGGAGGCGGAGCUUGCAGUGAGCUGAGAUCGGCGCCACUCACUCCAGCC
RNAcentral lists this long non-coding RNA (1650 nucleotides) under Macaca fascicularis (crab-eating macaque). RNAcentral's name for it is "lncRNA (ENSMFAG00000048775.1)". The record is from RNAcentral. Lineage: Eukaryota; Metazoa; Chordata; Mammalia; Primates; Cercopithecidae.